RNAcentral lists this ribosomal RNA (254 nucleotides) under uncultured bacterium. RNAcentral describes it as "partial 16S ribosomal RNA". It matches the Rfam family "Bacterial small subunit ribosomal RNA", at positions 524 to 776 of the family's 1533-position model. The record is from RNAcentral.
UACGUAGGGGGCGAGCGUUGUCCGGAUUUAUUGGGCGUAAAGAGCUCGUAGGCGGUCUGGUAAGUCGGGUGUGAAAUCUCCACGCUCAACGUGGAGGGGCCACUCGAUACUGCCAUGACUCGAGUCCGGUAGAGGAGUGUGGAAUUCCCGGUGUAGCGGUGAAAUGCGCAGAUAUCGGAAGGAACGCCGGUGGCGAAAGCGAUCGACUGGACCUUUUCUGACGCUGAGGCGCGAAAGCCAGGGGAGCAAACGGG